Molecule: ribosomal RNA, 380 nt
Filed under: Escherichia coli
Lineage: Bacteria; Pseudomonadati; Pseudomonadota; Gammaproteobacteria; Enterobacterales; Enterobacteriaceae
Also listed under: 26 other names
Description: bacterial SSU rRNA
Rfam family: Bacterial small subunit ribosomal RNA
Source: RNAcentral
AACUCAAAGGAGACUGCCAGUGAUAAACUGGAGGAAGGUGGGGAUGACGUCAAGUCAUCAUGGCCCUUACGACCAGGGCUACACACGUGCUACAAUGGCGCAUACAAAGAGAAGCGACCUCGCGAGAGCAAGCGGACCUCAUAAAGUGCGUCGUAGUCCGGAUUGGAGUCUGCAACUCGACUCCAUGAAGUCGGAAUCGCUAGUAAUCGUGGAUCAGAAUGCCACGGUGAAUACGUUCCCGGGCCUUGUACACACCGCCCGUCACACCAUGGGAGUGGGUUGCAAAAGAAGUAGGUAGCUUAACCUUCGGGAGGGCGCUUACCACUUUGUGAUUCAUGACUGGGGUGAAGUCGUAACAAGGUAACCGUAGGGGAACCUGC